This 1419-nucleotide long non-coding RNA is filed under the name Citrus maxima (pomelo). Its description in RNAcentral is "long non-coding RNA (CMAX_LNC002216)". Lineage: Eukaryota; Viridiplantae; Streptophyta; Magnoliopsida; Sapindales; Rutaceae. The record is from RNAcentral.
CCCGACACUGUCACAGGUGACAUUGUAUUUGUUCUACAACAGAAAGAGCACCCGAAAUUUAAGCGAAAGGGUGAUGACCUAUUUGUUGAGCACACCCUGUCACUGACAGAAGCUCUCUGUGGCUUUCAAUUUGUAAUAACUCAUUUGGAUGGCCGGCAACUCCUCAUCAAAUCCCAGCCUGGGGAAGUAGUCAAGCCGGGUAAGUACAACUGGAUGGAUGUUAGUCUGAAUUUGUCAGCCUUUGUUGUUCAAAACUGAGUUUGUUGAAUAAUUUCUAGUUUCUAUAAAUUGUUCAACUUCACCAUUGGCAAUAUUCUUUCAGAUUUGUGAGCUGAUAGGAUUUUCCAUUUUUCUUGAGUCUUGACAGUGAUGCCUUGGUAGUGAUGCCUUGUGCAUGAACUUUUAUUCCUAGUACCAGUGUGACUGUCUAAUUUUUGGGCAUGUUGUUGUUUUCUGUUCAAAGUUCAGUUAUUUUUUGCUAUUUGAGUAGUGAUAUCUUGUUUUUGUACAGUGUUCUUUAACAUAUUGUUGUUUCUUUUCACCCCAGGAAACACUUUUAAGCAAUAUGUGCAAGUGAUCGUGGAAAUAAUAUCUGUGAACAGGCCUUUAAUAGCCUUGUUAAUGCAACUAGCUAGUUUCUUAAGACAUGUUUUUGGAGGCUUCCUCAGAUAGCUUUAUUGAUGCAAUUUAGCUAGUUUCUUAAGACUGUUGUCGAAGGCAUCAUACAUGUUGAAUUAUGUGAUGAUAUGAUCUAUUCUAGAUUCAGAUGGAACUACUAUUAGAGAUUUAUUGGAUGUGAUGCAUUGCCCUUGGUUCCUUUAUGCUGAAUAAUUUCUUGUGUUUGUUUCAUGUUAUCAUCUUAUUCAUACAUGCUACUUUUUUCUCUGCAAACAGACCAAUUCAAGGCCAUAAAUGAUGAAGGAAUGCCUAUGUAUCAGAGGCCAUUUAUGAGGGGCAAACUGUACAUUCAUUUCAGUGUUGACUUCCCUGAGUCACUGAGCCCAGACCAGUGCAAGAUGCUGGAGACCGUACUACCUCCAAGGACCUCAGUCCAGCUCACCGAUAUGGAACUGGAUGAGUGUGAAGAAACAACCCUGCAUGAUGUGAACAUUGAGGAGGAAAUGCGAAGGAAGCAACAAGCAGCUCAGGAGGCAUACGAUGAAGAUGACGAUAUGCAAGGUGGUGCCCAGAGAGUGCAGUGUGCUCAGCAGUGAUGAUGUAGAAGAAAAGGGGUGGCCUGAUUUAGUAUUUUCAUUGUUUGGGAGAAAAAGAUUCUCAACAUAUUUAUUUUCUGUUAUAGGCUUCAGAGGUUCUAGUUUUGGUUUGUCUGUCUUUAUUCUUAUGUUUUUCUGAUAACUGACUAUGUAAUGGAAUUCUAGCGGUUGCACCUUCAGACUCAAUGCUCAUAAUUAAUAUUUU